RNAcentral lists this ribosomal RNA (891 nucleotides) under Hapalocystis berkeleyi. Its description in RNAcentral is "eukaryotic LSU rRNA". It matches the Rfam family "Eukaryotic large subunit ribosomal RNA", at positions 24 to 942 of the family's 3401-position model. The record is from RNAcentral. Lineage: Eukaryota; Fungi; Ascomycota; Sordariomycetes; Diaporthales; Sydowiellaceae.
UGUAUCCCCCGGGUGCUAAGCAUAUCAAUAAGCGGAGGAAAAGAAACCAACAGGGAUUGCCCCAGUAACGGCGAGUGAAGCGGCAACAGCUCAAAUUUGAAAUCUGGCCUCGGCCCGAGUUGUAAUUUGCAGAGGAUGCUUUUGGCGCGGCGCCCUCCGAGUUCCCUGGAACGGGACGCCACAGAGGGUGAGAGCCCCGUAUGGUCGGACGCCAAGCCUGUGCAAAGCUCCUUCGACGAGUCGAGUAGUUUGGGAAUGCUGCUCAAAAUGGGAGGUAAAUCUCUUCUAAAGCUAAAUACUGGCCAGAGACCGAUAGCGCACAAGUAGAGUGAUCGAAAGAUGAAAAGCACCUUGAAAAGGGGGUUAAACAGUACGUGAAAUUGUUGAAAGGGAAGGGCUCGUGACCAGACUUGUGCCAGGCGGCUCAUCCGGCGUUCUCGCCGGUGCACUCCGCCUGGCUCAGGCCAGCAUCGGUUCUUGCCGGGGGACAAGAGCGGCGGGAACGUGGCCCCCCUCGGGGGGUGUUAUAGCCCGCCGCACGAUGCCCUGGCGGGGACCGAGGUCUGCGCUCCGCAAGGAUGCUGGCGUAAUGGUCACCAACCACCCGUCUUGAAACACGGACCAAGGAGUCGUCCAUCAGAGCGAGCGUUUGGGUGUCAAACCCGCACGCGUAAUGAAAGUGAACGCAGGUGAGAGCUUCGGCGCAUCAUCGACCGAUCCUGAUGUACUCGGAUGGAUUUGAGUAAGAGUUUUGCUGGACGGACCCGAAAGACAGUGAACUAUGCUUGUAUAGGGUGAAGCCAGAGGAAACUCUGGUGGAGGCUCGCAGCGGUUCUGACGUGCAAAUCGAUCGUCAAAUAUGAGCAUGGGGGCGAAAGACUAAUCGAACUG